This 166-nucleotide transfer-messenger RNA is filed under the name Dechloromonas agitata. RNAcentral describes it as "transfer-messenger RNA Dechl_agita_CKB". It matches the Rfam family "Betaproteobacteria transfer-messenger RNA", at positions 142 to 308 of the family's 331-position model. From Rfam's summary of the family: Bacterial tmRNA, also known as 10Sa RNA or SsrA, is named for its dual tRNA and mRNA-like properties. Its role is to liberate the mRNA from a stalled ribosome. To accomplish this part of the tmRNA is used as a reading frame that ends in a translation stop signal. Lineage: Bacteria; Pseudomonadati; Pseudomonadota; Betaproteobacteria; Rhodocyclales; Azonexaceae. The record is from RNAcentral.
GGGGGUGUACUGGCUUCGACAGGGCGGGCAAAGGUGCGCAGGCAACCCGAGAGGUGACGGACGUAAUCCGCACAAAUCCAUAAUUGCCAAUGAUGAGCAAUUCGCUAUCGCCGCCUAAAAACGGCUAGCUGGGGCCGCUGAAGCCUUAUUACCCAAGACAGCCGGC